RNAcentral lists this ribosomal RNA (254 nucleotides) under uncultured bacterium. RNAcentral's name for it is "partial 16S ribosomal RNA". It matches the Rfam family "Bacterial small subunit ribosomal RNA", at positions 524 to 776 of the family's 1533-position model. The record is from RNAcentral.
UACGUAGGGGGCUAGCGUUGUCCGGAAUCAUUGGGCGUAAAGCGCGUGUAGGCGGUCCGGUAAGUCCGCUGUGAAAGUCGGGGGCUCAACCCUCGGAUGCCGGUGGAUACUGUCGGGCUUGAGUACGGAAGAGGCGAGUGGAAUUCCAGGUGUAGCGGUGAAAUGCGUAGAUAUCUGGAGGAACACCGGUGGCGAAGGCGGCAUCCUGGACCAACACUGACGCUGAGUGAGCGAAAGCCAGGGGAGCAAACGGG